UGGGUAUGGUUUGGCUUGCAAAAAUUGUCAAACAGGUCAAAAUAUUGUGGUGCUUUUAUAGAUGAUGAUCUUAUCAAAAUAUUUUAUGGAAAAUCAAUUGCUCUUUAAAUGUAAGUCAAAAAGCCUUUUAGUACACUUGGGGUUGGACUGCUUGAACCAACACACCUUGAACCGAAUGGAUCGUCCAUCCGGUUCCAUGCGAACUGGUUAACUAUUGUUUGACCAAAUACAUGUUAGGCCCUCCACACCAUUGGCCCAAGCUCCUUCCUUGCAAGCCCACAAUACCCUUUGCAACCUCCUAAGGAUGUGUAGGAUAUUUAUACAUCCCAUGAAAUCUCUUAAA
RNAcentral lists this long non-coding RNA (343 nucleotides) under Vitis vinifera (wine grape). RNAcentral's name for it is "long non-coding RNA (VVIN_LNC000881)". The record is from RNAcentral. Lineage: Eukaryota; Viridiplantae; Streptophyta; Magnoliopsida; Vitales; Vitaceae.